UACGAAGGGGGGCUAGCGUUGUUCGGAAUUACUGGGCGUAAAGGGCGCGCAGGCGGCCCCUCCAAGUCAGGCGUGAAAAGCCCCCGGGCUCAACCCGGGAAUAGCGCUUGAGACUGGGGGGGCUUGAGUUCGGGAGAGGAGAGUGGAAUUCCCAGUGUAGAGGUGAAAUUCGUAGAUAUUGGGAAGAACACCGGUGGCGAAGGCGGCUCUCUGGACCGACACUGACGCUGAGGCGCGAAAGCGCGGGGAGCGAACGGGAUUCGAGAUA
Molecule: ribosomal RNA, 268 nt
Filed under: uncultured bacterium
Lineage: Bacteria
Description: partial 16S ribosomal RNA
Rfam family: Bacterial small subunit ribosomal RNA
Source: RNAcentral